GACGAACGCUGGCGGCGUGCCUAAUACAUGCAAGUUGAGCGCUGAAGGUUGGUACUUGUACCAACUGGAGGAGCAGCGAACGGGUGAGUAACGCGUGGGGAAUCUGCCUUUGAGCGGGGGACAACAUUUGGAAACGAAUGCUAAUACCGCAUAAAAACUUUAAACACAAGUUUUAAGUUUGAAAGAUGCAAUUGCAUCACUCAAAGAUGAUCCCGCGUUGUAUUAGCUAGUUGGUGAGGUAAAGGCUCACCAAGGCGAUGAUACAUAGCCGACCUGAGAGGGUGAUCGGCCACAUUGGGACUGAGACACGGCCCAAACUCCUACGGGAGGCAGCAGUAGGGAAUCUUCGGCAAUGGACGAAAGUCUGACCGAGCAACGCCGCGUGAGUGAAGAAGGUUUUCGGAUCGUAAAACUCUGUUGGUAGAGAAGAACGUUGGUGAGAGUGGAAAGCUCAUCAAGUGACGGUAACUACCCAGAAAGGGACGGCUAACUACGUGCCAGCCGCCGCAGUAA
Molecule: ribosomal RNA, 513 nt
Filed under: uncultured bacterium
Lineage: Bacteria
Description: partial 16S ribosomal RNA
Rfam family: Bacterial small subunit ribosomal RNA
Source: RNAcentral